Molecule: ribosomal RNA, 184 nt
Filed under: Vulpes vulpes (red fox)
Lineage: Eukaryota; Metazoa; Chordata; Mammalia; Carnivora; Canidae
Description: partial small subunit ribosomal RNA
Source: RNAcentral
CCUAAAUAAAUAGUUCUAUAACAAAACAAUUCGCCAGAGAACUACUAGCAACAGCUUAAAACUCAAAGGACUUGGCGGUGCUUUAUAUCCCUCUAGAGGAGCCUGUUCUAUAAUCGAUAAACCCCGAUAAACCUCACCAUCCCUUGCUAAUACAGUCUAUAUACCGCCAUCUUCAGCAAACAAA